UCGGGGUUGGUAAAGCUCUUUUGGUCAGGAAAGAAACCGGUAAUCUNUAAUAUAGGUUGCUAAUGACCGGUACCUGAAGAAUAAGCCCCGGCUAACUACGUGCCAGCAGCCCGCGGUNNUACGUANGGUGCNAGCGUUAAUCGNAAUNACUGGNCGUAAAGCGUGCGCAGGCGGUUAUGUAAGUCAGAUGUGAAAUCCCCGGGCUUAACCUGGGAAUGGCAUUUGAGACUGCAUAGCUAGAGUGUGUCAGAGGGGGGUAGAAUUCCACGUGUAGCAGUGAAAUGCGUAGAGAUGUGGAGGAAUACCGAUGGCGAAGGCAGCCCCCUGGGAUAACACUGACGCUCAUGCACGAAAGCGUGGGGAGCAAACAGGAUUAGAUACCCUGGUAGUCCACGCCCUAAACGAUGUCUACUAGUUGUCGGGUCUUAAUUGACUUGGUAACGCAGCUAACGCGUGAAGUAGACCGCCUGGGGAGUACGGUCGCAAGAUUAAAACUCAAAGGAAUUGACGGGGACCCGCACAAGCGGUGGAUGAUGUGGAUUAAUUCGAUGCAACGCGAAAAACCUUACCUACCCNUGACAUGGUUGGAAUCCUGGAGAGAUUCGGNAGUGCUCGCAANAGANCCAAUACACAGGUGCNGCAUGGCUGUCGUCAGCUCGNGUCGUGAGAUGUUGGGUUAAGUCCCGCAACGAGCGCANCCCUUGUCAUUAAUNGCCAUCAUUUAGUUGGGCACUNUAAUNAGRCUGCCGGUGACAAACCGGAGGAAGGUGGGNAUGACGNCAAGUCNUCNUGGCCCUUAUGGGUAGGGCUUCNCNCGUAA
RNAcentral lists this ribosomal RNA (820 nucleotides) under uncultured bacterium. Its description in RNAcentral is "partial 16S ribosomal RNA". It matches the Rfam family "Bacterial small subunit ribosomal RNA", at positions 416 to 1225 of the family's 1533-position model. The record is from RNAcentral.